AGCCCAAGCUGCGGGCCCUGGGAGUGGAGACGCGGAGCUGCGGUCGCCGCUUUCUGGGCUCGCUCACCAGCCCGGGUGGAGUCCCGAGGUCUGCGCGUUUGUGCCGCUCUCCCCGCCUCGGUAACCUGCUCCUCCCUAGCGGGUGUCCUGGGCUGCCGUGGUGAGAUGGGGCCGGAGACGGACGAAGGCCUCACAGGAAACUUUGGGAGGCUCGCCUGGCCGCGGCCGGGAAGUGGCCGGACCGGCGAUGAUAAGCUGAGGCCGCCUGGAAGGGACUACUCGGCGGGUCGGCAGCCGGAAAGGAAUUCGGAGAGUGGGGGCGGAGGCGUGAUUAAAAUGUUAAGUGUGCCCGGAGGGCGCUGGGCGAUCCCUGGAGCUGAAAUCUCCGGGAAGGGAAGCUGCUUUAGGGCCGCGAGGCCCCCACCCCUAAAAUAGGCACUUUUCAGCCUCAGAAUUGGUCACUUUUUCCUGUACGUUCCCACGUUUUACUUGUAUCUGUUAUUAACGUGGAUUGCUUUAGAAUGGUUUUCAGCAACUCCAGUUUACUCUGAGUCCCUUAAGGACGGGAACUGUCUUUCAAUCCUGUACUCCCAGUGCCUGAGCCUGCCUAAAAAUGUUAGAAACUCAAUGCUGGAAUUGUAAUGGAUGUUUAAAAGCAUACAGCAGGUCCUGGGAGUGGCCCCCUAUAAUAAAUUCUUACCUCUUCGGGAGUCUAGAAUGCGUGGAGAACCCAAACGGGUCUGCUCUUCAGUGAUGGCCGUUUCUGAAGCGUCCUUCACCAAAAGAAUUUGGUGAAAAAUGAGUAAUGUGAACUACAAGAUUAUUACUAGGUGAUCAGUAACAGUAGGAUAGGUAUGCGUCAUUAUUCGAGGGUGUGACCCUCCCAUGUUCCUGUAGUAGACUUUUUAAGGCGGUGUUAUCUUUUGCAUUGGUUGAACCACAUAGCGUCAAUCCGGUAUUUCCCCUCCCUCUCAAAAACUGAGUUACAUAGGAGCCAAAGAAGAGUGGUGAAUAUUUUCUCUAAGCAGGGUUAUUUAUUUAACCGUAGAGAACAGCCCUACACAUAAAAAAACAUAAAUCUUAAGUUGGACUUUUUUUAAGUCUACUGUUUUAAAGCUAAAUAAACAAAAACCAACAUAAAAAUUUUAAAUAAGAGGCUUAAUUCUCCCUAUUGAAAAUGGAGGAUGAGAUUUCCCGUCCCUUUCUCUCCGAGCAUUUGUCUUAGAAAACUUAAGUACUUUCUUAAUUGUUAAGUACUUUCUCAACUCUUUGAAAUGUGUAUAAAUCCACUUGAGGACUAGAUAGGUCUUGUCAACUGUAUGCUCAGUCAGGAAUGUCUCUGGACCUUUUUUUUUUUUUUUUUUUUGAAAUGCUGCACAUAUCAACGGAGUAGCAUCCUUCCCUAUCUCCCAGUUUCUGUGAGAGAGUAGGAGCGUAACUUCGGUGAGCAACUUGCUCCGUGUUGCAAAACUACCUUCCGUCAUAAAGACAGGAGAAGUUUGUUUUUCCUCUGGAUAAAACCAAUUAACUAACACAGAUGGUCACCCCAAUUAUUAAGUAAAGUUAAUGUCACAAAUGUCAGGUCCUCUUACUUGAGGACUAGUUAUUGUUCAACUUGAAAACGUGUAUGUAAUGGGUCGUAUAUACUUGGCUAUACAAAAGGGCAAGAUUUCUGUCUUUGCAAUCUCUUAGCAAAUUGCCUGUGAUGUGUAUCACAGUCUCGUUUAAUGCUUAUUCAGUAAUAAAAGUGUUUUGUCUACUAACGUUUGUGGAGAGGAUUUCUGGGUUGGGAGAUUUUGGUUUUUAAUUAUAUUUUUCCAACAAUGCCUAUACCCAGAAUGUUGGGAUGACAAAGUUAAGGAAAGUAGUUACUUCGGAGUUUUUAAAUUGUUCUCUAAAAUGAUGGUUAAUGUUUCAUAUGUAUUUCAUAGUGAUUGUUAAAUGCACAAACUGUGGUUCUGUGAGUAAACUUCUUAAAAUAGAAGUUAAUUUUCUGUGAACAUCAAAUGUUAUAGUAUAUGUAAUGUCAAUAAGAAUGAAAUGAAUGAAAAUUUGGUUAGGUAAGGCCAAAAUACAACUUUGGAGACUGCUUCAUGACUGAAUACCUUUCCCAAGAACCUUAGAAUUUCUCCAUUUAUACAAAGGGAAUCAAAAUGUAGAAAGAUGUGGUUGGUGAAUACGUUAUUACAUAUUUGCAGAAAGUAGCUUUCAAUAAAGAUAUGGUAGAAAUAGAGCUGUUUGAUACACAACAUGUGUGUUUGUGUUAAGGAACCCAAAUCUAGAAAAAUCAGCAAGAAUCUUUCCAUAUCUACAAUUGUUCUCUGAGUUCUCACCUAUUCAUUCCAAAACCUUAAAAGCUGUCUACCAUAUGCCAGUCAUUGUGCUAGGAAAUGCAGUUGUGAAAGAAUAUACUUGAAGUAAAUGAAUGUGGCAAAAAUCUAUGCUGCAUUUUUGAAGCAUACAAAAAUAUAUAGCAAAUCCAGUUUCACAUUUUUUUCCUCUGUUGGAAUUAUCACAUUGCAUUGCAACACAUUUAAUAAACACUGUGUGUCACCUUAGUAUAUAUUCCAUGUUCUCAAAUACCAAACUUUGUCUGUUCUAAUAGCAUUACUUACUGGACAAUGAAAAUAAUAAUGUGGACAUCAAACCUAGGUGGGUAAUAAAAAAUGAUUGAAAAGUUUUUUACUUUUUUUGAUUAGCACCAUCCAUGCCUCACCCCAUCUCUCCACCUCCCUUUUUUCCUGUUUAAAAGUAUAGACUGCAAGAGGAAUCUUGGUUGUGUGCCAUCUUAGUUCAGUAGUUCCAAUACUUACCCCUCCCUCCUUUUCUUCAUCUGUGUCUCUUUUCUGCCAACUCCUUUGAUUUGUGACUCUCUGCUUUCUAAUCCACAAUUCAUACCUAUCCACAAUUCAUAACUAACCAUACACACAUACUGCUCCUAAAAUAGAGAUCAUGAUGAGGUAUGCAAUAUGGAAACCAUAUCUAUCCUUAUUCUAUACAUGCUGCAGUGUUUGUUUUCAGUGGAUAUAUAUUUUUUUCUUUUUGAAAAUUGUUCUCUUGAAUGAAUACUGUUCCUAGAGGUCACAUUUGUGUGAAAUUUUCU
This 3103-nucleotide long non-coding RNA is filed under the name Homo sapiens (human). RNAcentral's name for it is "non-protein coding lnc-FBXL17-4:1". Lineage: Eukaryota; Metazoa; Chordata; Mammalia; Primates; Hominidae. The record is from RNAcentral.